CCUACGGGAGGCAGCAGUGGGGAAUAUUGCACAAUGGGGGAAACCCUGAUGCAGCGACGCCGCGUGAGUGAAGAAGUAAUUCGUUAUGUAAAGCUCUAUCAGCAGGGAAGAAAAUGACGGUACCUGAGGAAGAAGGCCCGGCAAACUACGUGACAGCCGCCGCGGUAAAACGUAGGGGGCAAGCGUUAUCCGGAUUUACUGGGUGUCAAGGGAGCGUAGACGGCAGUGCAAGUCUGGAGUGAAAGGCGGGGGCUCAACCCCCGGACUGCUCUGGAAACUGUACGGCUGGAGUGCAGGAGAGGUAAGUGGAAUUCCUAGUGUAGCGGUGAAAUGCGUAGAUAUUAGGAGGAACACCAGUGGCGAAGGCGGCUUACUGGACUGUAACUGACGUUGAGGCUCGAAAGCGUGGGGAGCAAACAGGAUUAGAUACCCCUGUAGUC
Molecule: ribosomal RNA, 440 nt
Filed under: uncultured bacterium
Lineage: Bacteria
Description: partial 16S ribosomal RNA
Rfam family: Bacterial small subunit ribosomal RNA
Source: RNAcentral